Molecule: long non-coding RNA, 367 nt
Filed under: Prunus persica (peach)
Lineage: Eukaryota; Viridiplantae; Streptophyta; Magnoliopsida; Rosales; Rosaceae
Description: long non-coding RNA (PPER_LNC000169)
Source: RNAcentral
AGACGGCUCCGUCGUUGGCGUGGUCGGAGGGGUCCUUGGCGUCGUGGCUGUGGUUGUGGUUGCCGUUGUCGUCGUCGUGGGCCCCGCGGACGCGCUUGCCUAGUAUGAAGGGGGUGGGGCCGCCGAGGAGGUGAGGCUUAUGGUCGGAGGUGGUGGUGGAAGAGGGGGCGGAGGAGGGGGCGCCGCCGCGGAGGGAGACGGAGACGGUGGAGAAGGAGGCGGGGGUGGUGCCAGUUCCGGUGGCAGCGAUGAUUGAGGGCUCGGCCUGGCGGAGGAGCCACUCGAUGGUCUGGCCGUCGGACUUGUGGCCGAGCUCACGUGUGAGCUGGAACACACGUGCGGCGCAUAUGAUGGGCAUGCGGAUGCG